RNAcentral lists this ribosomal RNA (496 nucleotides) under uncultured bacterium. Its description in RNAcentral is "partial 16S ribosomal RNA". It matches the Rfam family "Bacterial small subunit ribosomal RNA", at positions 28 to 506 of the family's 1533-position model. The record is from RNAcentral.
GAUGAACGCUGGCAGCGUGCCUAAUACAUGCAAGUCGAGCGAACGGACGAGGAGCUUGCUUUUCUGAUGUUAGCGGCGGACGGGUGAGUAACACGUGGAUAACCUACCUAUAAGACUGGGAUAACUUCGGGAAACCGGAGCUAAUACCGAAUAAUAUUUUGAACCGCAUGGUUCGAAAGUGAAAGACGGUCUUGCUGUCACUUAUAGAUGGAUCCGCGCUGCAUUAGCUAGUUGGUAAGGUAACGGCUUACCAAGGCAACGAUGCAUAGCCGACCUGAGAGGGUGAUCGGCCACACUGGAACUGAGACACGGUCCAGACUCCUACGGGAGGCAGCAGUAGGGAAUCUUCCGCAAUGGGCGAAAGCCUGACGGAGCAACGCCGCGUGAGUGAUGAAGGUCUUCGGAUCGUAAAACUCUGUUAUUAGGGAAGAACAUAUGUGUAAGUAACUGUGCACAUCUUGACGGUACCGAAGCAGAAAGCCACGGCUAACUACGU